AUUAUAUUCUCAUCAAAACACCAGAUAACCACUUUACUGUCAUUCUAAACAAACAAAGAGAUUCAUAGCAGCAUCUUGAAGUAAAACAAAGAUGUUCAAACACUUUUUACAAAAUGAUUUAUAUGCAUUAAAGUCAGAUACAAAUAGAAAUGGCAACCUUUUUUAGGGGAACCAGAAGUAUCAAAUGUUUUGUACUUUGUUAAAAUCUUUUUUCUUUGUUAACCACAUCCUAUGUGCUAGAGUACAGAUCCAAAACAACAAAAAUUGUGUCACAGUCUAUUUCCAGUAAAUACAUUUCAUGGCAUCAAAUACUGAGUUACUUUGCCAGUUUCCUGUACCCUUAGGGUUGGACCGUUUGACCAAUCACCAAGCUAGAUUCUGUGAAAGGAAAUACUGUGUUUCCUGAAUUUCCUCUACUUACAAGAGUUCUCUGCCUCAGGACUGGAGUUUUGCAUACUUUGUCUUUUUCUAAGAGGUGGGUGUAUAGCAGUAACUUAGGACCCGACCAUUGCCUUGAUUCCUGGAAUCAUGACUAUAUCUACUGAAGUCCGACCGUGGUAACCUGUGUUGGCCUCUGCCUAGAUGCAUUUGAAAAAUGGAUUUGGAGAAGUCCAUUUAAAAGUGGAAACAGCUAUGCCAAAUGAGUCCCUCACUGCAGAAUCCCUCACACCCUUCAGAGAGGCAUGAAAACCUGACAGGCUUGUGGACAGAUGCGAUCACAUAACGAACCCUGGACGUCUACCACCUCAGAGCUGUAAGACCUCGGCUAUGUCCCAUUGCUGCUGGAAUAUGGAGGUGAACAUAACUAUACUGCUUCUUGUUCUGGCUGGGCUCCUAAUCCUGGUCCUGUUCUACCGUGUCCUGCUUCUGCGCCACAAGUUGCGUGUGGUUCAGGCCAGGAACGCUCUGGAGUACUGCAGCUUCUACCACAUGGCACACUAUAGCCUCAAACACCCAGACCUGCCACCUACCUUACCUGUGGCGACUCAUUUGGUUACACAGCCCCAUCCUGCCCCACCUCCACCCACUGGUGUUCUUUCCCCAGCUCCACCUGUUGUUCCAGCUCCUCCUGUUGUUCUCAACCUGCCUCCUCCUCCACCCCCCCCACUGCUGUCUCUGGCUCCUCCCACUAUCUACACCACCCCACCUAGCCCUCGCUCAGACAUGGAAGUGUACUCCCAUAUUGGGGUGCUGCGGACAUCCAGACUCUCAUGUGUGAGUCAGACCCAAGUGGUUCUUUUUGAACACUCAUCCCUGUGACCCUGUGGAGAAAAACACCAUCACUUUUAUCAUGCAUUUUGCUGAAAGGCUUGCUUACUUAUUCUAGCGUAUUAUGCAUUUUUGUCAUGGUCACAUUUCUUUCCAUAACCUGUGUCUUCAGAGACAGAUUGUGCAAACAUUCUGAAACCAAAUAAUGGUUCAGUCUGUUGGUAUUCAUUGCAGAGGUUUUCAAUGUAUUUCAGAUGUUUAUAAUCAUAUGUUGACCUCUUUUUUUUCUCUUUCAAAUGUCAAGAUGCCCGACCCAUACCACAUUUUGCAGUUUAUUUUUGCAUAAAUUGUACUAUUGUAUAUCAUAUCAAGCUGUGUUGUAGAGGUGUAGGGUUAUAGUCUGGACUAUUCUAUGUAUCUGUGUAUUCUCUGUAUAGUGUCUGUAUUUGUGACUGAGAGAGGCUAGUUCCUCCGAUUUCCUGAAUAACACUGACUUCAUUAUUUCCUGAAUAGGGUGGGUUUUCCUGAACAGCUCUGUAAUGCAAUUUUUUUUCCCAUUUCCUUUGGUGAGUAUUGGUCAGUGUCCUUUUUUUCUCUGCUCAUUUUUUAAUUUUAGUCUAUGUUUGUGUUCAAAUUAUUGGCAAAUUACUAAUUUACUGAACCCUGGGCAUUUUCAGCAUAUCCACUUACUAUAAACUGAAACAAAAACAAUUGUUUUUGUUAGUGCUGCAGCUUAAAGUAAGCAAGUGAAAAGGGGCUAAAAAAUCAAAGAAAUCUUGGACAAAAAUGUAAUUAAAUACUUUUAGAUGAAAAAUAAGAUCAUUGUUUAGCACAAAGCUGCAGCAAGCAAUAGAUUAUAAGAAGCAUUUAGAGGAAGUUACUUAAUUAAGUUCUAGUUAACUGGUUCUUGGGUACCAACCAUAUUUUCCCAGUCUCUCCAUGUCCAGGUCACUGUCUACAUAAAAUAAUCUACAAAUAACAAUGAAAAUUAAACCUAUACAAUGCAACUUGUCUUUAUUUACAUAUAGCAGUAUGCAAAAUUAUUUCAUAAUCAAAGAAUUAUAGAUUUGAGAGAGCAACUUUACACUCUCUUUUUAAUUACUUAUUUGCAAAGACUCUUUCAGGCUGCAUGUUGUAUCUGUCCAAGUUCAUAAGCUUCUUCAUCUCUUCUGCAUAAUGAUUCUGUAUUCACCUCUUUCAUGGCCAAAAAUAUAGUCCAUAUAAAUAUUUCACUAUUCUCCAUCCUGUUCUCUAUCUGAUUAUAUAUAACUCAACAUUAUUGUUAAAAUGGCUGCCGUAAAUAUUUCGUAAAUAUUAGUGUUUGGAUCAAAGAUGAUGCAGGCUUUAGUUUGGCUGGCAGGUUAAUGCAAAGCACUGUGGGAGGAAACCUGGGAAUUUAUAAACCCUGGUGAGACUGGGGACAGGCAUGUGUUAUCAGUACUCAGGUGAAGUAUUGCUGACGUGUGAAGGGAAAGAGGUGUGUUGCAAACAGGUGUGUUACUGUGAUUGGUGCUCAUGGGGUGUAUGUGUACACUGCCUUGUGUGUGGCUGGAUAUCAGUUAGAACGUGACAUCUAAAAGCAUAUUAGUGAUUCUUGAAUUGGUAAGUAAUUCAGCUAAUUAUAAAAAAUUGAAUGGGGUGUAUCUUUUCUUUAUGUGAAAUAAUUAGACAAUUUGAAUUGUCUGUUGUUAUUGCAUGGCAUGUUCAAUUCUCCUAAAUCUUUCACAAAGAUGUAACAACAUGUUAACGGAAUAAAUCAACUCUUUACAGCAGUUUGUUCAUUAACUUAUCAAAGUUGUAAAAGUGUUAUUCCCCAUGAUUUUAUAUUGGUUAAAUAAAUGUAGCUGGUGUAUAAACUGGUGGGGAGAAAAGUAACCUUACACAUUCACAGUAAGUUUCAGUUUGUUUUACACUAUCUAGGGCCUGCAAACUUUUUGUAAAAUAGAGGCUACUCUAAAAUAGCAUUCUGCUCUAUAUGUGUUAUGAUGUGUAGCUCUCAAUUUAUCCUUAGAUUAUGAAUUAUAUCGAUACUGAGAAAUUGCAAAAUCUCAGAGAACACAAUUCAACCUGUUCAUGGAUCAUGGACACCUAAACUCUCCCAUUAAGUGCCAGUUCUACUCUAAGUAACAUUCAGCACUGAGUUGUUUGUCUUGGCUGAUAUGACAGCAAUUAGGAUUCUGUCAAAUUAAAGCUGUUCCAGUUGGAGAAAUUCUGAAGUGACAAGUGUAAUUCCUGUUGACAGAGUAAGCCAAGAACCAUCUGGAUACUAUCCAAAGAAGUGGUUUGCAUGAGUGAUAUGUUGUGUGGAGUCAUUGUGUGCAAGCAUACAAAGCUUUUUUUAUGGAUAGAGUUUUGGAUGUAGUUUUGGUCUUCAGAUGUCUGGAAUCUGCAUUUUAUUUUUUUUAUUUAUUUAAACAGAGCAUAAUGUUUUCUUUUUUCAUGUAAUUCAAGUUGGACCACGUUGCACUUCUGCCAGGGUCUCUAUGUAACUCAGCAGAACAUCUCUGUUUAGCAUUACAUGAGCGCUGUUUGCUUUGUAUUGUUUUAUGUAUUUUGGUUGUGAACAGUUCUCUUUCAUACCCUAGGAACAGAAGCUGUUUAGUCCUCACCUCCCACCCAGGAAUCACUUUCAUAUCUUCUCUGGCAUAAUGACAGAAUACAUCAGAGUCCAAGAAAAAGUACAUUUUUGAAUUGAAAAACAGAAAAGUCUUGUGAUUUUUAAAUAUGUGCUACAAACAUGAAACACAUAAAGCUAACUUAUGUAGA
Molecule: long non-coding RNA, 3975 nt
Organism: Electrophorus electricus (electric eel)
Lineage: Eukaryota; Metazoa; Chordata; Actinopteri; Gymnotiformes; Gymnotidae
Source: RefSeq, a predicted model, not a curated record